This 301-nucleotide ribosomal RNA is filed under the name uncultured bacterium. RNAcentral's name for it is "partial 16S ribosomal RNA". It matches the Rfam family "Bacterial small subunit ribosomal RNA", at positions 509 to 809 of the family's 1533-position model. The record is from RNAcentral.
CAGUAGCCGCGGUAAUACGUAGGUGGCAAGCGUUGUCCGGAAUUAUUGGGCGUAAAGGGCUCGCAAGCGGUUUCUUAAGUCUGAUGUGAAAGCCCCCGGCUCAACCGGGGAGGGUCAUUGGAAACUGGGAAACUUGAGUGCAGAAGAGGAGAGUGGAAUUCCACGUGUAGCGGUGAAAUGCGUAGAGAUGUGGAGGAACACCAGUGGCGAAGGCGACUCUCUGGUCUGUAACUGACGCUGAGGAGCGAAAGCGUGGGGAGCGAACAGGAUUAGAUACCCGCGUAGUCCCUGUCUCUUAUAA